AGCUUGUUAGAAACACAAUCCAUAGCGCAGCGCGUCAACACGGAGAGAGUGUUAGCGCGGCGGCCGGCUUACGUAGAAGGUGGUGACGGUGCCGGCGGAGUUGUUGGGUACGAGCUUGAUCUGCAUGUCAGCGCGCGCGAAGAGGUAGGUGUCCCUGGAGCGGAACCCGGAGCCGGAGGUGUGGUCCAGCGACAGCGUCAGCGUCUGGCCGUCCGGCGACACGCUCCCGCGCCCGUCGCCCCACGUCACCUCCAGCCCGUCGUCCAUCCUCCCCGCCGCCGCCGCCGCCGUACAGAGCCCCAGGAGCAGCGCCACUGCCAGCGCGCG
This 327-nucleotide long non-coding RNA is filed under the name Setaria italica (foxtail millet). RNAcentral describes it as "long non-coding RNA (SITA_LNC005413)". The record is from RNAcentral. Lineage: Eukaryota; Viridiplantae; Streptophyta; Magnoliopsida; Poales; Poaceae.